UUGUGAUCAGAGUGCUGGCACUGCCCCUGAUGGACCAGGUGUGGCUUCACAUAAAAAGGAGCAGACAGUCACAAAUGCGUCUGUAGAUCUGCAGUCCAGCAGUGAUCAGUAGGAAAUGUCUGGACGACGAGGACACUGCCAUGGUGGUGGCCAUGGACAUGGACAUGAACAUGGACAUGGACAUGGUUGCCAUGGCGGUGGACAUGGACAUGGUUGCCAAGGUGGUGGACAUGGACAGGGGCCCAAAUGCAGGCGCAGACGCAAGCGCAAGCGAGGCCACAAGCAUAGAAGCUGUCACAAGAAGGGGAAGGACUGUCAUGGGUCCUCCAGCAGCUCCUGCAGCAGCAGCAGCAGCAGUGAUUCCGACUAGAUAAAGAAUCCUGGAUGGAAAGAGUAUCAAGACAAGUUAGCACUCAUAAACCUUAGACAAGAAUCACAUAUGACGUUAAAACGUUUUUUGUAACUCAAAGGCAUGUGUAUUCUUGUCCCUACAUAUGUAAACUGCAUAUCUCUGUGUCAGACACUAAGGUAAUAAAGUUCCUAGUGAGAACAGAGAUGUUCUCUCUUCUGA
Molecule: long non-coding RNA, 571 nt
Organism: Epinephelus fuscoguttatus (brown-marbled grouper)
Lineage: Eukaryota; Metazoa; Chordata; Actinopteri; Perciformes; Serranidae
Exons: 4
Source: RefSeq, a predicted model, not a curated record